ACCAUUUUAGACCUGAAUCUGAACCUGAAGUUGAAGUGCCACGUCCUGUUAGAAGAGGUGAAGUAGUACAGGAACGGGUUAAGGCAACAGUUGAAACUCACCAGGGCUAAGGUGACCCUUCGCAUUUUGUAGAUCAGGAAGAGUCCGGAUGAUGGAGCCAUGGCAAACGGUGGAAAAGCCCGUGCAUCCUUCAUCUCCAGCAACUCCUUUAUAUGAUGCGGUGCCAACUUUCCCUGGCCAACUGCAACCAGAGCUCCAACCAUUCUUCGGACCUGAAAAGACAGCACGCAGCUUAGGAACUGCCCCUUGUAGCAUUUAAGAGGUUGAGUCCUGCACUUCUUUGUAUCAGCAGUGGUUUGUGUGGUAGAACAGCCCCUUCCCUCCCUACAACUGUGGGCACCAGGAAAAUCAAGACCUGUAACACAAUGUAACACAACCAUCUCCAGUUCCACUGCCUUGGAGCAGGUCUGUUCUCAUCGCAGGUGGGAAGAGAGCUGAGCAGACAUGGUUUCUAUUUCAAAAGCAGCAGCAGCCACACGCUGCCUGUGACAGGAAGCUCACUUGCUGCUGGGUGAGCUGGGCUCACACGUUCUUGAUGCACAAGCAACAAUUUCCAGGUGGGGGCUACGUAGGGGCCUGCUUCUCUCUCAGAGAGCCACAAAAGCAAAAGGAGAAAAAACAACACACCAAGUGAGAAAGCCCACCAGCCAACUAAGUCAUCAGAUUGGCAUUUUGAACACCUCCACAUGUCACAGCUUCCCUCCCCUCCACACUAAGCAAUUCCAAAUCGACUGGGUUAGCACAAACUUCACACCCAGUGCUCACCUACUGUCACACCCUCGCACAUCAGCAUCCUCCUGGCUGAAAGCCACCCUUCCCUGGGCUGCCCCCAAGCCAUGGUGCUCUCAUCACAUCCCAGUGGCAUUUCCAUGCCCACCAAACUGUCCCCCAGUCGCAAAUGCACAGCAGCUCCUUGUGGAGGAAUCACGGCAAGCAGAGAUGGGAAACUUAAACCAGUUCUCCAAAUACGGUGCUUAAAAUAACAUUUACAAAAGAUUAAACCAAAGUCCACUAAGCAACCUCAUCAAGUUCAUCCCCGUUAAAGAGCAAAGAUACAUUUAUCCAAAGGCAGGCAUUAUUUUCACCUCCUUGCUUGGAGCUAAGCUGCACUACGUGGUGCCCAGAGCCUGCCUUGUAGCCAUUCUGCUGUCAUGGAGAAGAAGCACAGAUCCUAAGUGUAUGUUAUGUUAUCUGUCCCUCACUAGGGGUCAUUGCACGCUGUGACUUCAGCUUUGAUGUCUCCACACGUGGAGUUAGCUGGUGUAAAUCCAAACGGAUGGGAGGCAUCUGAAACAGCCUCCUGCUUGGUGUCUCCCCACUGCUCCACGUCCUUCAGGGAGAAGAUACACAUACAGUUUCUGAGGCUGUUUAACCCUAUUCUCUAAUAAAAACAUCCAGAUGGUAAAACCUAACAUAGCAGCCAUAUGAGAUGACAUCAGAGGUCCAUCUAGCCCAGUAAGCUCUCUGUGACAGAGUGCAGAAGCAGAUGCUCAGGUCCAAGAGUGCAGGUUCACCGUGUACAGUCUGUUCCUUCUCCCCUGGCCUGCCAGCUGGCUCUGAGGCUGCUGCUGAAAGCCCCACUCACACAGGGCAGUGGGCUCAGCAUUACUGUGCAGAAAGAGAGAGCUACCAAUGUCACUAAGUAGCAUUUCCAGUCUAAUGCCUUAAAUGGGUUACCAGCAUUUUCUCCUUGUCACAAGAGCAGCCGAUGAAGCAGAUCCCUGCUAUGUAUCAAGCCUUCUCAAGCAUGUUAUCGUCCUUCCCCUGCUCAUAUCCAGACACCCACUGUCAGAGAGCUUACGGAGCAUUGCUUGGCACAGGAUAAAAACAAAUCUAGUUUGUCAAAACAGAAUAAAAAAUAACUGUUCCCACAAAACACCCCCUCUCUCUUCCAAAACAAGCCUUCCCAUGCCUAUUCUGUCUCCAGAGUGUGACUGUGCCCGGAGUAGGCAGACAGAACAGCCAAUUGUUUCCUAAUGAGGUGAUCCAUUAAGUUGUGGAGAGAGCCGUCUCCCUUGAGGACAGCAGCAAAAACCCCACUGGAGUUAUUUCAAAGAAAACCCAGCAGCAUGACAGAGGGAACGAUCCUGCAGUCGUGCCUGCAUAGCUGAAUCAGGUCUUCCCAUCUCUCCUUCAUGCAACACUGAGAAUUACCUCAUGCUCCAAAGCCAGAAAGUAAAAUUCCAGGCAGCCUUCACUGGGCCCAGUGCCAUUCAGCAGAGCAAGAACAUAUGUCUCUUGGUUUUUACCACUCGGACUGCAAGGACAAAGACUGAGGAAAACAAAACUUUCCAUCCUCCCACUCCAUUCUGUGACUUUGGUCAUUCAUUUUAGACACAAACCGAAGGCAGUCUGGUUCUAUUGGGUCAAACCAACAAACACGGAGCCUCGGUUCACAGAGGCAAGGUCCCUGUGUGUAUCAUGAAGCUAUAGGACCAGCUCUGCAACAGAGAUGCCACUUCACAUGGAUGCAACACUGCCAAAUCAAUCGUGUUCCAGUGAGAGCGAUACUUGGGUUCUUGGAGACGAAGGGUGCACGGAGCAGAACAGUACCUGUCGGUAAAGAAAUGAUCUGCUCUUGAACUUCAGCUCCCAAAACUGCAGUCCCCUACAGAUACAAACAGAAAAAAAAGCGUUUAAAAAUCACAUCUCAAAUGUGAAAACUUCUUACAAGAACAGCAUAAGACGUAGCUGAACAUGAGCAGAAUGAACAGGUAGCUGAGAUCCAUGUCUGCCUUAAAGAUCACUAAUUAGAGCUACAAAUAGCCAACAAAUCUAGCUCAAAUGCUGCCGUUUACCUUUGUUGGGAACAACUACAUAGGUCAGUUAUGGCUACAUUGAAAUAAUUCACACAUCUGUAGUGGAGAAGUAACAUUAAUAAGAGAAAUUAAUGAGAAAUAAAGACACCUUUGUCAGAAAGGGAACAAUGCAAGUGUAUGAGAAAAGCAGAUUUGUUGUCUUGAGAGUGAACAGGGCCACGUGAAGCACACACUGUCCAAAGCCAGAGGCAAUCAUUUAUUUAUUGCUGGGAUGGCACUGGAGUCAGCUGCUGGAAGCAGAGCUGUCUGCCAGGGACAGGACAAGUGUGCCCCAAGGCAGGCAAAAGGACACCACGGCCCAAGCCAUAAUGCCCAAAAGCUUCAAUUCCCAAAAAACCCUGCAUAAAACAGGGGCCUAUCUUUGCUCAGAGGCAGGGUGGCAGGGCAGCUGGCUGUGAAAACACCAAUGCUGUGGCAGGGACUGUGUAGGUGAGCCCAGCUGUUUGGGUAAAUGCUGUUCUACAUGGGAAGAAAAGCUUUGACAGAAGCAUGGCAACAAAUUGAAACUCUCACUUGCUUUGCCAUUCAUUCUGGGCACAAACAACAUCUUUUUCACCCAAAUUUCAAGCACUUUAAAGGGAAAUUUUACAGCCAUAUCUGGUGGCUUAGUGCCACUGCUAAGCAGCGCUGAAGCAGCAGCCUUCCCCUAAACCUCCCUGUGAUAAAAAAUAAUCAGUUCAAACUAACAGGAUUUGGAACAAAAAAGGAGUUAUCAUAAGAACACCUCCAGGACAGUUAAAGGAGAUUAAGGAGCAACAAUUCAGCUACAAAUCUUCUGAAGCCUUCAGACGAAGAAGACGUCGGUAAGCACAAGUUCUGCUUCAGCACUUCAAGGCCCAGCCUGCCAGAUGGAUCUUUAGGCUGUUGCAAAACACCAUCCUGCAGCUAGAGCCUCUAUGAGGGCUGCUGGUUCAACAGGAGGGGCAGAUGCUUGCUGAGAUGUAAGCUACUUUGAGUCACUGGCUGCCUCAAAGCCAACAAGCUGCUCUUUUAGAAGUGCAAACUGCAGAGAGAACACAGAGAAUUAGUCUUUUUCCUGGGCACCUCUGAAGUGCUCCAAACACCACCUCUGUUUAGGCAGAGGACGUGUCUGUUGUGCUAAAGGAGAGCAAAGAGUUGAAAUACCUGCAGACUGUCUGACCUGACUGGAGGAGGUAGCUCCAAGGAGGAGGUACAAACUGCAAGAUUCCAUACAAGACAAAAUAGCCCUUAAUUGUAGCAUUAUUUUUUAACAGCGGAGGUUUCGGUGCUUAAGGAUGGUUCUUCUCUAGACAUUUCUAAGAGAGAAGUGAAAUGAAAACAUUUAUGGUGGCUGAGAAUGCGACCACAAAGCCAGGCCAGCUCCCAGAGCUCAAACACCAGUCUCUGCUCUGGCCAGGAGAUGGCUUUACUUAGCAAACAGAACGCAAGGUGACAGCUGCACUGACACCCAUGUGCUCUGCUGCUCUCCAGGAGGAGAGGAUGGAAUGAACCAAAAGGGAAGAGAAGAAGGAUUGGUGAAGAAAGGAUGGCAGAGGGCCUGCUGAUGAGUGCUGGGUAACUGUCCUGCGUCAGGGGCAUAAUGGGCACUGAAAGUACUGUCAAGUUGGCAAAUUCCAACCUGAAAACCGCUUUCUCCUCUUCUUGCAACAAACUCUUCUGCCAGAUGUUUUCCCCAGAAAAACAGUUGGCGGAAUUCCAGGAAAGAUCAAAUCCUGAUGUGGACAGCAGAGCAGCAAAUGUUUAAAAACCUGCUGCCAAAGUGGAGCUCUGCAAUGUCAGCAUUGCAUCUCACCCAAGAGGAGCGCUUACCUCGUGUCAGGCUGAACUAAAUGAUUUGCCCUCAGCAGCAUUUCUGCCAUCCCAUAAAUCAUUCUGGACGUGACUGAACAUUUCUAGCUCUGAUAAAAGCUUUUCACUUGUCAAGUCACAAACAACACUUAUGGAAGCUCUAAUUCCACCAUGUGCACAGCCUAACAAAGACUACCAUAACAGCCUCAGCCUCUUCCCAUAGCAUUUUUUCAGACCAAAACCUUUGCACAUUGCUAACAGCAUCCUGCAAGGAGAGGAGAGCACUGGGGCACAGGAAGCGCACAGCCCUGGUAUGAGCACCUCUCCUUCCUGCAGCUCUUCUAGCAGCAGACACAUGGAGGGCUGCAAAAGCAAAGUCUGCAGGAUUUGUAAUUCAGUGCCAUGAUAGGGAGCAAGCACAGGAGCAGGGGUUGUGGGGAGUGCCUUGGGGAUGUUACAUUAAGGGUUCAUAGUGACAAAGGACUGAAUUUUGUGCAUCACUCAGAUGAAGGCAACAAGGAGAAGAGAAUUCAAAACCAUCAGGAUGGAGAUCGAGCAGUGGGUAUCUUGUGGCAGGGGGAAACAGUGCAGACAAAAUAAGACUCUUGUAACCAACUGCAGCAACAUCCAUCAUUCCACAUCAGGGAUGCUUGCAAAAAGGCUGCAUUGAUUGCCUCUGAUCUGCAUUGCACAACAGAUCGGUCUUCUUUUCCACUGCUCUCCCCACACUGCCCCUUCCUUCACCACUGCCCACAGCAGGCUCAGGAGCUCAAAUCCAGACAGACAAAAUAGACUUUUGAGGAAGCCAGCUGCCCUGCAAAGAAUUCAGAAUGUAAACCACCCCACAGCCUGCUCUGGGCAGCAGUUCUGGGGCAGCUGUAGGCUGAGAGUAAGCAGAGCAGGAAAAGGCAGAGGAAUAUUUGAGGAUGGAUGGAUAGAUACCACUGCAUGAAAACAUAUCUUUUUCCCCUCUCCAAAUCUGUUGGUACAGAUACCAUUGUCCAGAAAGUUUUAAGGUGGUAACCAGUGCUCCCUACAAGGGCAAUACUGUCAAACAGUACUAAAAGUCCAUAGGUGUCUACACACAAAACCUCUCCUCCUUUCCCUUGCCAUGAGCCCAGUUGUGUGGGGCUCUGAAGACUCGAAUCAGCUGUGGGAAAAGCACAGCUGCAACAUAUUUGUCUGGGGGGUUCAGGACAGGCUGGGUUUGCUGGAAACACCUGGGCAUAAUGGAGGGGGCUGCCCAUGGCUUAAAAGACAGCUCUUGUAAAUGGUGGAAAAAGAUGAAGCAGGGACAACAUGAUUCACAGCCUGCAUAGGGUACUGGGGAAGGGUGAGCAGGAAGGGAGACUAAAAUUAUCACCCCAGGGAGCAGCUGCAAGCUGUUUUCUCAGAGGAUUCACAGAUAUGUUACUGCUUUUAACCCUCCCUGUUGUGUAUGUUGGUAAAUGCAAAGGCAACUCCUACCCCCGGAUUCCUCUUUAUGUCAGGAAAUGACAAUUCUUCCAUCACUUACAUAUGGUUUGCUCUCCCUACAGCAAGGAGGACGUGGCAUACAGACAUGUGCAGUGCUGGGCACGUGCACAAAUACCCACCACGCUGCAGCCAGGAGUCUGCUCAGCUCUUCAGCAAUGGUUAGCUCAGUGGUGAAGUACUUUGCUUACUUGUGUGGUGGUCAAGCUCUCCAGCCAGCAGUGGCAGCCUAACAACAGACAGCAGGAAUGCAGCCAGCAUCCCCCAGGAAGGCAGCAGGAGUUACUGGUGUGAACUGAGAGGAUAUGCAUAGCUACAGCAGUGCCCUAGGUGUCGGGUUGGUGCUGCAGGGAGUUUUGUCAGCCUAAGCGCCUCUGGCUCACACCUCUUCACUGCAAAGGCUCAGACCACAGAAGAAGAAAUUAAAGCUGAGCCACAGGCCUCUGCAAAGAUUUGCAAUAACAAGCCCAGAAGACCGCUUCACUGCUAUAAACUCCCAUCAGAAAUGCAAACUACAUCCUCCAGGCCUGCAAUGGAGUUUGAACCUAGGACCUCCAGCGUCUUCUAAACACAGUAAUAUAAUUAGGUACUCCAUUUAUUUUCCUCUGUCUACAUGUCUCCGCAAGCAUUUCAUCUCCCUUGAGCUUCUCCUGUUAACACUUAAGUGAUUUUUAUUAAAUAACCAUCCUUUUAUAAUCUCCCAUAGAACGAUUCUUUCAGAAAAGCCCAUUUAUACUCGCAUGAUUCUUGCCUCUCCUGGUAGAUGCAAUUGCUAUCUUGGGCUCUUUCAAGCUGGGAGUCUCUUAUUCCACCAGUUCUUCAAACACUACAUUUCCAGCCUUGUUAACGUCCCCUUUUUUACAAGACUGCAGGUAAAUAAAGACUGAGGGCAUUCUUCAGCUUUUUGACAGUGUAACCUGCAGAAGAGUUUGAAGGAAGAAGAGGCCAAAGACAUCUAAUUAGAUACACCAAUGUAUUAAAUACAAAGGUGUCCUCCAGAAGUACCAAUUCCUCUCUCCACUGACAACAGAAGGUGAAAACCGAUUUGCAGGAGGUGGGAUGAAUCCCAGCUCUGUCUUGUUGCCACCCAGACAGCUUUUAUGGAGUACUUACCAAACUGAAACCAGAAAUAGAAGGCAAGAAUCUACUGCUCUAUCCCUACUCACAUGAUAGCAAUGACCUCUUCAAGUUACCCAUCUGCAGAAUACACUCUGAUCUUUGCAGACAAGAUCCUUUCAAAAAUUCUUUGCAAAUGCAAAAGACAGAUCAUUUUCUAGAAGAGACCCAUCAUGCCGCAAAGCUACAAAGAAGAUCAUUAUUGCUAAUGAUACAGCCAGCCGGUUUGGAAUCUGGUCUCCUUUUCAAGCUCUAUCAACAACGAGUUCUCACAAAGAUAUCUCUCUCCAUUACCCCCUGCUUGCAACCACAUGAAAGUGCUGGGUUUUCUAUCCAGCAUUAGGAGAGAAUUCUUGGCAAAGUAAUAUUUACAGAGGGAGGGGUUGGCUGCUGAUCCAUUUAGACUCAUGCUUGUCACCAAGCUCCUUAAUGGAAAGCAGCUGAGCCAUUUGUAAAAGGUUCAGAGCAAGGGAGGAGGGAGAAGCAGAGCUGACUGCAUCCUGGUAAACUCAGAGUGUCUGAUGAUGAGGACCGUGGUCAGGCACGGAGCUAAGGCCAGUGAGCACCCUCACAACAGAACAGGGCAUAUCACAGCUUCAGCCAACUCACAGUCUCUCUUCACUUUACACAGCAUCUGGGACUUGCACAGAGGACCUCCUGGGAGAAAAAGAAAUGUCACCAUUCAGAUCUCCCUCCUCAGCCACCAAACUGUUCGGGUGCCUGCACAUCUAGAGCUGGGUUCACUCUUCCCCAGGCCAUGGAGAAUUGGAGUCCUCCCUUGCAAAAUGAAGGGCAGAUGCAGGCAUGAUGUCAGCCCUCAAAUCCCAGGCCUUGCUGCGUCGGCAUUUGGGUCGGGCCCUGUUUCACAAAGAGGAGAUUAGAAAAUAAAGCAGACUGGGUGAAGUGGGAAGGGGGA
Gallus gallus (chicken) is the source of this 8154-nucleotide long non-coding RNA. RefSeq lists it as uncharacterized. The record is from RefSeq and is a predicted model, not a curated record. Lineage: Eukaryota; Metazoa; Chordata; Aves; Galliformes; Phasianidae. The transcript has 5 exons.